RNAcentral lists this transfer RNA (68 nucleotides) under Marmota monax (woodchuck). Its description in RNAcentral is "tRNA.Pro". Lineage: Eukaryota; Metazoa; Chordata; Mammalia; Rodentia; Sciuridae. The record is from RNAcentral.
GAAUAUAGCUCAGUUGGUACAGUGCUUGCCUCGGAUGUACAAUGCCCUGGGUUCAAUUCCCAGCAACA